Molecule: ribosomal RNA, 301 nt
Filed under: uncultured bacterium
Lineage: Bacteria
Description: partial 16S ribosomal RNA
Rfam family: Bacterial small subunit ribosomal RNA
Source: RNAcentral
CAGUCGCCACGGGAAUACGUAGGUGCCAAGCGUUGUCCGGAAUUAUUGGGCGUAAAGGGCUCGCAGGCGGUUUCUUAAGUCUGAUGUGAAAGCCCCCGGCUCAACCGGGGAGGGUCAUUGGAAACUGGGAAACUUGAGUGCAGAAGAGGAGAGUGGAAUUCCACGUGUAGCGGUGAAAUGCGUAGAGAUGUGGAGGAACACCAGUGGCGAAGGCGACUCUCUGGUCUGUAACUGACGCUGAGGAGCGAAAGCGUGGGGAGUGAACAGGAUUAGAUACCCGAGUAGUCCCUGUCUCUUAUAC